CCUACGGGGGGCUGCAGUGGGGAAUAUUGGACAAUGGGGGCAACCCUGAUCCAGCCAUGCCGCGUGUGGGAAGAAGGCCCUCGGGUUGUAAAGCACUUUCAGUGAGGAAGAACGCCUGGUGGUUAAUACCCAUCAGGAAAGACAUCACUCACAGAAGAAGCACCGGCUAACUCCGUGCCAGCAGCCGCGGUAAUACGGAGGGUGCGAGCGUUAAUCGGAAUUACUGGGCGUAAAGCGCGCGUAGGUGGCUUGAUAAGCCGGUUGUGAAAGCCCCGGGCUCAACCUGGGAACGGCAUCCGGAACUGUCAAGCUAGAGUGCAGGAGAGGAAGGUAGAAUUCCCGGUGUAGCGGUGAAAUGCGUAGAGAUCGGGAGGAAUACCAGUGGCGAAGGCGGCCUUCUGGACUGACACUGACACUGAGGUGCGAAAGCGUGGGUAGCAAACAGGAUUAGAUACCCGGGUAGUC
Molecule: ribosomal RNA, 465 nt
Filed under: Vreelandella stevensii
Lineage: Bacteria; Pseudomonadati; Pseudomonadota; Gammaproteobacteria; Oceanospirillales; Halomonadaceae
Description: partial 16S ribosomal RNA
Rfam family: Bacterial small subunit ribosomal RNA
Source: RNAcentral